UACGGAAGGGGCAAGCGUUGUUCGGAAUUAUUGGGCGUAAAGGGCGCGUAGGCGGCUCCAUAUGUCGGCGGUGAAAGCAUACAGCUCAACUGUAUUGAGCCGCGGAAACUGUGGGGCUUGAGGCUGGGAGGGGCUGGUGGAAUUCCCUGUGUGGCGGUGAAAUGCGUAGAGAUGGGGGAGAACACUUGUGGCGAAGGCGGCCAGCUGGACCAGUUCUGACGCUGAGGCGCGAAAGCGUGGGGAGCAAACAGG
Molecule: ribosomal RNA, 252 nt
Filed under: uncultured bacterium
Lineage: Bacteria
Description: partial 16S ribosomal RNA
Rfam family: Bacterial small subunit ribosomal RNA
Source: RNAcentral